Molecule: long non-coding RNA, 1288 nt
Filed under: Cyanistes caeruleus (blue tit)
Lineage: Eukaryota; Metazoa; Chordata; Aves; Passeriformes; Paridae
Description: lncRNA (ENSCCEG00000002683.1)
Source: RNAcentral
CUGCCACCGGCCCGCAGCCCCAGCGCGCCCUGCCUGACCUGGCCGAGCCCUGCCGGGGCCAGCUCACUCUGUCACAAAGGCUCGGACGCCUCUGACGGCGAGCAGCAAAGCUUGUGCUGGUUGAGCAGCAAAGCCUGUGCUGGCUGAGCACUCGCGCCCCGCCGGUUUCAGCCCUGCGGAGGCUGCGGCAGCCGCGGUGCGCUGAGCCAGAAGCGCCGGGAACACGCCCCGGGGCUGACACCGCACUCGCAGUGAGGUGGAUCAUCCUGCCGGCUUUUACAGCUCCCUUCUCUCCUGGCACAGCCAGAAUGUUAGUCUAAGAGAUAUUAAAUUCAAGCAGAAGGUAUGAAUGAUGCAAAGCCCUGAGACACAGUGCAAGAUUCCUGGUGUUUUCAACAGACACUUCAUUACACCCUCUGUGGAUGACAGCGAAGUUAUGUGUGUGAAAUGCAUAUGCUGAAACACCAAAACACUGAGCUGUUUCUGUGCAACCUGUUUCCAAUAUGAGACUCUAUGCUUGUUACCUGCUUAACCAUGUGGAAUAGUGAAAAGACAAUCUAAUCCUGGAAAUUUAUUGCUGGACUCAGAAUUGCUGGUUGUCUUUUUAAAAGCCCUCUUCCCUGGUGCCAAGUGAACAAGGGAGACUCUCAGCUGCAUUUUAAAGAUGUCAAUUUCCAGUUCUAUUGACUGAAGAGGAUCCUCAUCCAAAGCCCUAUGAGGUCCAGCAAGAGCCUUCCCCUGGUCUCCAUGGUGUCAGAGCAGCCCCUGCUUGCCCAGUGUGUCGCUUCUGCCAGAGGAUCUGGUGAAGCCUCUCCAUUUUGUCCAGAUGUAUCUUGUGGCCCAGAAAGAGUGUUUUCUCUGCCCACACACAUUAUCUUCCCCCAGCUCUAUCAAAAGGCAAAUAAACUUAUAUGUGUGAAGAAUCCCAAGAAAAUGUCUUAGAGAUGUGUGAGUUUUCUGAGUAACACCAGUGAAAAACUUUGAAUGCACAACAUUACUGAGCAGCACUGAACUUCAUACCAAGUGCCUAGGAGACCCUGGGAGAAGAGAGACAGAAAUCGAGCAGAAGAGAGAUGCCUUUUUGCAUCUUAUUUUGUUCACUUAUGAGGGAUCCUCAUUGCCAUCCUGCUUACCUGUAGGGUUGCUCAGCCUCCUCUGCAGGCUGUGUAGGAUAUAUGGGCUCCUACUUACAUAAAGGGAGGGGUUGGCCAUGGCUGGCUGCCAGGUGUCCGCUAGAGCCACUACAUCGCUCCUCCUCUGCAGCUGGGCAGGGGAGAGAGAAUAUAAC